This 291-nucleotide unclassified non-coding RNA is filed under the name uncultured fungus. RNAcentral's name for it is "partial contains 5.8S ribosomal RNA, internal transcribed spacer 2, and large subunit ribosomal RNA". Lineage: Eukaryota; Fungi. The record is from RNAcentral.
AACGCAUAUUGCGCUCUCUGGUAUUCCGGGGAGCAUGCCUGUUUCAGCAUCAUUUGAACUCCUCAAAAUCAUCUUUGUGUGAUUUGGGACGUGGGCUUUCUUGUUGUGUGUUAACACAACUAGCCUGAAAUUUGUAACAAAUAAUGCAAGAAAUUGUGUAGCUGCUAUGUUGCAUAAGACGAAAUGCUAAUUAGUUGACUCUGGUCAAACUUGCUUACUAGUCUUUGAAACGAAGCCAGAAUACAUUCACAAAUUGAUCUGAAAUCAGGUAGGAUUACCCGCUGAACUUAA